GUAGGAAACAGGUAGAGAGUAUCCGGGUUUCCUACCCCUCCGCCGGGGUGGCUGUGCCUCCCCAUCCUCCUGCUCCCCUCCUUCCCUCCCUCCGCAGGGGAGGGCAAACCCAACCCCCAGGUGAGGGUCUGUUCUGCGGGAGUGGGAAACAGCUGGCACAGGCUCAGGCGGCAGGUGGUGGCCCUGCUCCUGCUGUGAGAGAUGGAAGCCAGGAGGCGGCGGGCGGGCCGUGCUCAGGAGACCCAUGCCCCACCCAGCCUGAGACUCUGUCAUUCCCUUCCACUGGGCUCCCCAUGAGAAGCCCCAAAGCAAAGUGGGUGUGGCUGGUCAGGGACAAUCAUGCUGGCUGUUAGUGAAGAAUGGCCUGGAGCACUGGGUCUCCGCCCCAGCUGCCUGGGAGAAACUGUGUUGAAGGAGCCAUACCCCCUGGCCUCCCCUCCAGACUCCAGACAACCCCAGUCAGCUGGCUGGGAGGGAGGCAGAAGAGAAACAGGGGUGCACCUGGGGCUCCUGCAGGGGUCCAGCCAGGAGAUGGGGGCAACUUGGACAGGGACGAUCCUGGGAAGGGCAGGAGGAGGAGUGAGACCUGGCCUGCCCUCUCCCUAGAGGCUCAUCAGCUCCCUGGAGACAGACACGCCCUGGUUCCUUUCCCUAUGCCUGGAGCCUGGGUACCAGCUAUUGAAAACUGCUUUUCUCCUUGUUCAUUCAAACAUAUUCACACAUAAAGGUUGUCAUUCCUUUUUGUCACUAUUUGACAAAAAUUGGAUCAUACCGUAUACAAUUCUCUGCUAUUUGUUUUGCUCACCUAACAAUAAAUACACUGUGAAAAAUACCUUCAGAUGAGUAGAUAUCAAUCUUGUUCAUUCUUUUUUUU
This 874-nucleotide long non-coding RNA is filed under the name Homo sapiens (human). Its description in RNAcentral is "HSALNT0220742". The record is from RNAcentral. Lineage: Eukaryota; Metazoa; Chordata; Mammalia; Primates; Hominidae.